AAAACAAAGGAAAUGUUAGUCUCUACAUAGAACAAAAUUGAUUAUUUUGAAGUUUCUGCCCCUGUGAACUACCACUUGUGCCCUUAAAGUUUUCAUAUAUACAUAUCUUCAAAUGGUUUGGGAUGACAAAAUCUUUUAUGAAACGAAAUUGAACUACUUAGAGGUUUCUUCCCAGACAAUGGAUAAACAAUACCGUAUACUUGUUAGUGCAGAGACUUCUAGGCUUGUUGCUAAUGCUCUGAAGGUCUCUACCAUAGUAACAUACGCUUUUAUUUAUAAUUAUUGCCUAGUGCCGAGGUAUCGUAAAGAACUCUUUCUUUUGUAUCGGGAUAGUGCUGAAACUUAGACUGUGGCUGGGAACUACUAGAAGCGGAUUUUAAUGCGUUUUUUGUGAAAACCGCAUUUUUCACACCAAUCAGUAGUUUUUAUAUAAUUUACGUUUUUAACAAAAAAAACAGAUACGGUUUUAUGCAAAUGAUUUAGCUAUGUACCGCCUUUCCAAAUAUAUGCACUAUUUACCCUGCGGUUUUCAAGGAAAAACGCCAAAAAAUAUAUUUUUAGAUUUUUAAUAUAAUAAUAAUUAAAUAUUUUUAAUCUAAAUAAUA
This is a non-coding RNA of Camelina sativa (false flax), 605 nucleotides long. Lineage: Eukaryota; Viridiplantae; Streptophyta; Magnoliopsida; Brassicales; Brassicaceae. The record is from RefSeq and is a predicted model, not a curated record.